UGGGGAAUUUUGGACAAUGGGCGAAAGCCUGAUCCAGCAAUGCCGCGUGUGUGAAGAAGGCCUUCGGGUUGUAAAGCACUUUUGUCCGGAAAGAAAUCCUUGGCUCUAAUACAGUCGGGGGAUGACGGUACCGGAAGAAUAAGCACCGGCUAACUACGUGCCAGCAGCCGCGGUAAUACGUAGGGUGCAAGCGUUAAUCGGAAUUACUGGGCGUAAAGCGUGCGCAGGCGGUUUGCUAAGACCGAUGUGAAAUCCCCGGGCUCAACCUGGGAACUGCAUUGGUGACUGGCAGGCUAGAGUAUGGCAGAGGGGGGUAGAAUUCCACGUGUAGCAGUGAAAUGCGUAGAGAUGUGGAGGAAUACCGAUGGCGAAGGCAGCCCCCUGGGCCAAUACUGACGCUCAUGCACGAAAGCGUGGGGAGCAAACAGGAUUAGAUACCCUGGUAGUCCACGCCCUAAACGAUGUCAACUAGUUGUCGGGGUCUUCAUUGACUUGGUAACGUAGCUAACGCGUGAAGUUGACCGCCUGGGGAGUACGGUCGCAAGAUUAAAACUCAAAGGAAUUGACGGGGUCAUAGCUGUUUCCU
Molecule: ribosomal RNA, 586 nt
Filed under: uncultured bacterium
Lineage: Bacteria
Description: partial 16S ribosomal RNA
Rfam family: Bacterial small subunit ribosomal RNA
Source: RNAcentral